AAGUUGAGCCUCGCGAAGUCUCCACGAAGCUUGUAUGCCGCCUUGUCGUAAGCCAGAGCAGCCUCCUCCGCCGUGUCAAAAGUGCCGAGCCAUAGACGGGUACGGUUCUUGGGGAGUCUGAUCUCGGCCACCCAUUUGCCCCAGUGCCUCUGCCUCACUCCUCUGUAAAGCUUCGUGGGCUUUGACGGAGGAGAAGGAGCAACAUGCUUCAUGGGAACAGGUUUUGGGGAGAGAAAGCUCAGGCUCUGGCUCCGGUUAUGUUCCGUUGAUGAUUUAGAUGCUGCCAUGGUGGCUAGCUGCUGCUGUUGUUGUUGUUGAAGGAGAAAUUGAGUUUGGAUUUGCAGAAUUUGAGAUGGAGUAAGGUGAUUGAGCCCAACCGAUCCUGUUUGCU
This 391-nucleotide long non-coding RNA is filed under the name Carica papaya (papaya). RNAcentral's name for it is "long non-coding RNA (CPAP_LNC002185)". Lineage: Eukaryota; Viridiplantae; Streptophyta; Magnoliopsida; Brassicales; Caricaceae. The record is from RNAcentral.